This 1143-nucleotide long non-coding RNA is filed under the name Fragaria vesca (wild strawberry). Its description in RNAcentral is "long non-coding RNA (FVES_LNC004762)". Lineage: Eukaryota; Viridiplantae; Streptophyta; Magnoliopsida; Rosales; Rosaceae. The record is from RNAcentral.
CUCUCCUUUAAGGUAUACAAUGGUCAUAGGAAAAUUGUAUUGCAAGUUUACUACCCCCAGCAGAAGUAUACUACGGGUAGUAAACUUUAUUUUUCUACAUCUAAGUUGAUUUUUCACUGUUUUAAGAUGUAUAAUGGUCAUGGAGAAACUUUAUUUUGAGUUUAUUACCCCCGGCCAGUAAAAGUUUACUAGGGGUAGUAAACUUUUUUUUUCGUACUUGGGUUAAGAUCACGUAAAUUCCAAUGGCAUUUAAAAAAAUCCAGUGAGAUUUCCGGAAAAUUCCGGCCACCGGAUGCUGGCAAUUUUCCGGCCGUCGGAAAAUUCCGGUCACCGGUGACCGGAUUCCGGCGGCCGGAAUUCGGAGUCCGGCAACCAGAAUGCGGCCGCCGGUGACUGGCGCCGGAGCCCGGUGUGCUUCCAGCAAAGUCUUCCCUCCAUCUUUUUCACUUUUUCUCUUCAAGUAAAAGCUAAGGGUAAAAAAGUCUUUAAAAAUAUAAUUUUAUUAUAUUUUAAUAAAGAUUUGUGUAUUUGGGCUUAAAAUAAGUACCUGUAUUCAAAUGAGCUAAUAAAAAAGAUUAUCAUUGAAAUGGGGUUUGACUUUUUCUAUUUUGUGCAAAUGGUCUUUUUUCCUCUGCUUGGGUUUUUCCCUAAGCCUGCCACGUCAUGGUAUCACAAUCCAGUGGAUAGAAAUACAAGUCUUCCAAAACUGAAGUUGUGCCGAGAAGUAUGUGAUUUUUGUCUCACUUCCUCUGCAACAAAACCCAAAUUCAUCCCUUUAAUUUCUCUCUCUAUGCCGAAGAAAGAAGAACAAAGUCGUCGUCUCGUCGAUCUAUCUAUUUGCAGCCAACAUGAAUUAUGCGAUUACUCUAGUUCCUAUUAAGUUUGAUUAUUGACGAAUGACAAACGCGAAGCAGUAGCAUUUGAGAGGCGCCCGUCUCCAAACUCGAUCAAGUUCAUGCAUUUCUACGAAGAAUCUGAGCUUUGAUAAAUUUCUGGGUUCUAGUGCUCUGUCAUCUAAUUGUUUUCUUGUCCUUUAAAUCUCGAUUGUUUGGUUUGUGUUUUUGAUUGAUUGAUUUGAUUCAAGUUUCUGAGCUAUUCUAUUGAGCUUUCUUCUUGAUGGAUUUCACACCAGAAUAUAAAAUG